RNAcentral lists this ribosomal RNA (253 nucleotides) under uncultured bacterium. RNAcentral describes it as "partial 16S ribosomal RNA". It matches the Rfam family "Bacterial small subunit ribosomal RNA", at positions 524 to 776 of the family's 1533-position model. The record is from RNAcentral.
UACGUAGGGGGCAAGCGUUAUCCGGAUUUACUGGGUGUAAAGGGAGCGUAGGCGGCAGUGCAAGUCUGGAGUGAAAGGCGGGGGCUCAACCCCCGGACUGCUCUGGAAACUGUACGGCUGGAGUGCAGGAGAGGUAAGUGGAAUUCCUAGUGUAGCGGUGAAAUGCGUAGAUAUUAGGAGGAACACCAGUGGCGAAGGCGGCUUACUGGACUGUAACUGACGUUGAGGCUCGAAAGCGUGGGGAGCAAACAGG